RNAcentral lists this ribosomal RNA (380 nucleotides) under uncultured crenarchaeote. Its description in RNAcentral is "bacterial SSU rRNA". It matches the Rfam family "Archaeal small subunit ribosomal RNA", at positions 471 to 851 of the family's 1478-position model. Lineage: Archaea; Thermoproteati; Thermoproteota. The record is from RNAcentral.
UAAAACCAGCACCUCAAGUGGUCGGGAGAAUUAUUGGGCCUAAAGCAUCCGUAGCCUGUUCUCUAAGUUUUUGGUUAAAUCUAUGUGCUCAACGCAUAGGCCGCCGAAAAUACUGGAGAGCUAGGGAGUGGGAGAGGUAGACGGUACUCGAUAGGAAGGGGUAAAAUCUUUUGAUCUAUCGAUGACCACCUGUGGCGAAGGCGGUCUACCAGAACACGUUCGACGGUGAGGGAUGAAAGCUGGGGGAGCAAACCGGAUUAGAUACCCGGGUAGUCCCAGCUGUAAACGAUGCAGACUCGAUGAUGCAUUGGCAUAUAGCCAGUGCAGUAUCGCAGGGAAGCCGUUAAGUCUGCCGCCUGGGAAGUACGUACGCAAGUAUG